CACGUAGGAGGCGAGCGUUGUCCGGAAUCAUUGGGCGUAAAGAGCGCGCAGGCGGCUUGGCAAGUCGGGUGUGAAAUCCCGGGGCUCAACCCCGUGACUGCAUCCGAUACUGUCAGGCUAGAGGUAGGUAGGGGAGAUCGGAAUUCCUGGUGUAGCGGUGAAAUGCGCAGAUAUCAGGAGGAACACCGGUGGCGAAGGCGGAUCUCUGGGCAGUAACUGACGCUGAGGAGCGAAAGCGUGGGGAGCGAACAGG
This 253-nucleotide ribosomal RNA is filed under the name uncultured bacterium. RNAcentral describes it as "partial 16S ribosomal RNA". It matches the Rfam family "Bacterial small subunit ribosomal RNA", at positions 524 to 776 of the family's 1533-position model. The record is from RNAcentral.